ACAUGGCUCAGCUUGGUAGAGUGCUGGCUUCGGGAGUCAGAGGUCGUGGGUUCAAAUCCCACUGUU
Molecule: transfer RNA, 66 nt
Filed under: chicken gut metagenome
Rfam family: tRNA
About the family: Transfer RNA (tRNA) molecules are approximately 80 nucleotides in length. Their secondary structure includes four short double-helical elements and three loops (D, anti-codon, and T loops). Further hydrogen bonds mediate the characteristic L-shaped molecular structure. tRNAs have two regions of fundamental functional importance: the anti-codon, which is responsible for specific mRNA codon recognition, and the 3' end, to which the tRNAs corresponding amino acid is attached (by aminoacyl-tRNA synthetases). tRNAs cope with the degeneracy of the genetic code in two manners: having more than one tRNA (with a specific anti-codon) for a particular amino acid; and 'wobble' base-pairing, i.e. permitting non-standard base-pairing at the 3rd anti-codon position.
Source: RNAcentral